UUUGUACUCCCUCCGUCCCAAAAUUAUUGUCUUGGUUCUGUUUAGAUGUGGAUGCAUCUAGUCACGUUUUAGUAUCUAGAUGCAUUCAUAUAUAGAAAAAUCUAAGACAAGAAUUUUGGGAUAGAGGGAGUACUGA
RNAcentral lists this microRNA precursor (136 nucleotides) under Hordeum vulgare. RNAcentral's name for it is "microRNA MIR1122". It matches the Rfam family "MIR1120/MIR1122 microRNA precursor family". Lineage: Eukaryota; Viridiplantae; Streptophyta; Magnoliopsida; Poales; Poaceae. The record is from RNAcentral.